RNAcentral lists this ribosomal RNA (484 nucleotides) under uncultured bacterium. Its description in RNAcentral is "partial 16S ribosomal RNA". It matches the Rfam family "Bacterial small subunit ribosomal RNA", at positions 30 to 507 of the family's 1533-position model. The record is from RNAcentral.
AUUGAACGCUGGCGGCAGGCCUAACACAUGCAAGUCGAGCGGAUGAAGGCAGCUUGCUCCUGGUUUCAGCGGCGCACGGGUGAGUAAUGCCUAUGAAUCUGCCUGGUAUGGCUGUGUAACGUCCUGAGACGGGUGCUAAUACCACAUACGUCCUGAUGGUGAUAGAGGGGGAGCUUCGGACCUUACCGUCUCAGAGGAGCCUAGGUGCGGUUAGCUAGUUUGUUGGGUAAUGGGCUACCAAGGCGACGAUCCGUAACUGGUCGGAGAGGAUGAUCAGUCACACGGGAACUGAGACAGCGACCAGACUCCUACGAGAGGCAGCAGUGGGGAAUAUUGGACAAUGGGCGGAAGCCUGAUCCAGCCAUGCCGAGUGUGUGAAGAAGGUCUUCGGAUUGUAAAGAACUUUAAGGUGGGAGGAAGGGCAGUAAGUUAAUACCUUGCUGUUUUGACGUUACCAAGAGAAUAAGCACCGGCUAACUUCGUG